RNAcentral lists this ribosomal RNA (466 nucleotides) under Vreelandella stevensii. RNAcentral describes it as "partial 16S ribosomal RNA". It matches the Rfam family "Bacterial small subunit ribosomal RNA", at positions 338 to 795 of the family's 1533-position model. Lineage: Bacteria; Pseudomonadati; Pseudomonadota; Gammaproteobacteria; Oceanospirillales; Halomonadaceae. The record is from RNAcentral.
CCUAACGGGUGGCAGCAGUGGGGAAUAUUGGACAAUGGGCGAAAGCCUGAUCCAGCCAUGCCGCGUGUGUGAAGAAGGCCUUCGGGUUGUAAAGCACUUUCAGUGGGGAAGAAAGCCUUGGGGCUAAUACCCUCGAGGAAGGACAUCACCCACAGAAGAAGCACCGGCUAACUCCGUGCCAGCAGCCGCGGUAAUACGGAGGGUGCGAGCGUUAAUCGGAAUUACUGGGCGUAAAGCGCGCGUAGGCGGUCUGAUAAGCCGGUUGUGAAAGCCCCGGGCUCAACCUGGGAACGGCAUCCGGAACUGUCAGGCUAGAGUGCAGGAGAGGAAGGUAGAAUUCCCGGUGUAGCGGUGAAAUGCGUAGAGAUCGGGAGGAAUACCAGUGGCGAAGGCGGCCUUCUGGACUGACACUGACGCUGAGGUGCGAAAGCGUGGGUAGCAAACAGGAUUAGAUACCCUGGUAGUC